RNAcentral lists this ribosomal RNA (433 nucleotides) under uncultured bacterium. RNAcentral's name for it is "partial 16S ribosomal RNA". It matches the Rfam family "Bacterial small subunit ribosomal RNA", at positions 29 to 507 of the family's 1533-position model. The record is from RNAcentral.
AACGAACGCUGGCGGCAUGCCUAACACAUGCAAGUCGAACGAGACCUUCGGGUCUAGUGGCGCACGGGUGCGUAACGCGUGGGAACCUGCCCUUAGGUUCGGAAUAACUCCCCGAAAGGGGUGCUAAUACCGGAUAAUGUCUUCGGACCAAAGAUUUAUCGCCUUUGGAUGGGCCCGCGUUGGAUUAGCUAGUUGGUAGGGUAAAAGCCUACCAAGGCGACGAUCCAUAGCUGGUCUGAGAGGAUGAUCAGCCACACUGGGACUGAGACACGGCCCAGACUCCUACGGGAGGCAGCAGUGGGGGAUAUUGCACAAUGGGCGAAAGCCUGAUCCAGCAAUGCCGCGUGAGUGAUGAAGGUUUUAGGGUUGUAAAGCCCUUUUAUCCGGGAUGAUAAUGACAGUACCUAGAGAAUAAGCGCCGGCUAACUACGUG